This 251-nucleotide ribosomal RNA is filed under the name uncultured prokaryote. RNAcentral describes it as "partial 16S ribosomal RNA". It matches the Rfam family "Bacterial small subunit ribosomal RNA", at positions 525 to 775 of the family's 1533-position model. The record is from RNAcentral.
ACGAAGGGGGCAAGCGUUGUUCGGAUUUAUUGGGCGUAAAGGGUGCGUAGGUGGUUGUACAAGUCGGAUGUGAAAACCCCUGGCUCAACCAGGGAUCUGCAUUCGAAACUGUACGGCUUGAGUACAGAGGAGGUGAGUGGAAUUCUCAGUGUAGCGGUGAAAUGCGUAGAUAUUGAGAAGAACACCUGUGGCGAAAGCGGCUCACUACUCUGAUACUGACACUGAGGCACGAAAGUUAGGGUAGCAAACGG